RNAcentral lists this ribosomal RNA (443 nucleotides) under uncultured bacterium. RNAcentral describes it as "partial 16S ribosomal RNA". It matches the Rfam family "Bacterial small subunit ribosomal RNA", at positions 28 to 507 of the family's 1533-position model. The record is from RNAcentral.
GAUGAACGCUGGCGGCAUGCCUAACACAUGCAAGUCGAUCGGUAAGGCUCUUCGGAGUACCCGAGAGGCGGACGGCUGAGUAACGCGUAGGAACACACCCUGCAGUUAGUGAUAAGACACCGAAAGGUGUUCUAAUACCGCAUACGGUCUUCGGAUUAAAGCAUUUAUGCGCUGAAGGAGUGGCCUGCGUCAUAUUAGAUAGUUGGUGAGGUAAUGGCUCACCAAGUCGAUGAUGUGUAGCUGGUCUGAGAGGAUGAUCAGCCAGACUGGAACUGAGACACGGUCCAGACUCCUACGGGAGGCAGCAGUGAGGAAUAUUGCACAAGGAGCGAGAGCUGGAUGGAGCAAUGCCGCGUGGAGGAUGAAGGCCCUCGGGUUGUAAGCUGCUUUUAUAAGAGAAGAUUAUGACGGUAACUUAUGAAUAAGGGACGGCUAACUACGUG